RNAcentral lists this ribosomal RNA (460 nucleotides) under uncultured bacterium. Its description in RNAcentral is "partial 16S ribosomal RNA". It matches the Rfam family "Bacterial small subunit ribosomal RNA", at positions 338 to 795 of the family's 1533-position model. The record is from RNAcentral.
CCUACGGGAGGCUGCAGUGAGGAAUAUUGGUCAAUGGGCGCUAGCCUGAACCAGCCAAGUAGCGUGAAGGAUGACUGCCCUAUGGGUUGUAAACUUCUUUUAUCUGGGAAUAAAGUGCAGUAUGUAUACUGCUUUGCAUGUACCUUAUGAAUAAGGAUCGGCUAACUCCGUGCCAGCAGCCGCGGUAAUACGGAGGAUUCGAGCGUUAUCCGGCUUUAUUGGGUUUAAAGGGAGCGUAGGCGGGUUGUUACGGCAGUUGGUAAAGUUUGCGGCUCAAACGUAAAAUUGCCGUUGAUACUGGCAUCAUUGAGUACAGGAGAGGUAGGCGGAAUGCGUGGUGUAGCGGUGAAAUGCUUAGAUAUCACGAAGAACUCCGAUUGCGAAGGCAGCCUGCUGGACUGUAACUGACGCUGAUGCUCGAAAGUGUGGGGAUCAAACAGGAUUAGAUACCCUUGUAGUC